Molecule: ribosomal RNA, 608 nt
Filed under: Phytophthora capsici
Lineage: Eukaryota; Oomycota; Peronosporomycetes; Peronosporales; Peronosporaceae
Description: eukaryotic LSU rRNA
Rfam family: 5.8S ribosomal RNA (bases 1-126)
Source: RNAcentral
GCAUCGAUGAAGAACGCAGCGAACUGCGAUACGUAAUGCGAAUUGCAGGAUUCAGUGAGUCAUCGAAAUUUUGAACGCAUAUUGCACUUCCGGGUUAGUCCUGGGAGUAUGCCUGUAUCAGUGUCCGUACAUCAAACUUGGCUUUCUUCCUUCCGUGUAGUCGGUGGAGGAUGUGCCAGAUGUGAAGUGUCUUGCGUGUUGUCCUUCGGGUCGACUGCGAGUCCUUUUAAAUGUACUGAACUGUACUUCUCUUUGCUCGAAAAGCGUGGUAUUGCUGGUUGUGGAGGCUGCCUGCGUGGCCAGUCGGCGACCGGUUUGUCUGCUGCGGCGUUUAAAGGAGGAGUGUUCGAUUCGCGGUAUGGUUGGCUUCGGCUGAACAGGCGCUUAUUGAAUGCUUUUCCUGCUGUGGCGUGAUGGGCUGGUGAACCGUAGCUGUGUUUGGCUUGGCUUUUGAAUCGGCUUUGCUGUUGCGAAGUAAGGGUGGCGGCUUCGGCUGUCGAAGGGUCGAUCCAUUUUGGGAACUUUGUGUGCACUUCGGUGCGCAUCUCAAUUGGACCUGAUAUCAGGCAAGAUUACCGCUGAACUUAAGCAUAUCAUUAAGCGGAGGU